This is a long non-coding RNA of Heteronotia binoei (common prickly gecko), 164 nucleotides long. RefSeq lists it as uncharacterized. NCBI's taxonomy places the organism in Eukaryota, Metazoa, Chordata, Lepidosauria, Squamata, Gekkonidae. The transcript is spliced from 2 exons. The record is from RefSeq and is a predicted model, not a curated record.
ACAGGGAAAUGAGAAUUUGGAGGUACGUUCGAGGAAUGCACAACCAGCAUUAUUAACUCCAUGGUCCUCCAAUGACCCUCACUGCAAUCUGCCACAUCUUCUGAUUCAGUUUCCUGUAUUGAAGGCCUGGCCUCUGCCAAAUGAAUAAAAAGGCCCAAAAAGUA